GGGCCUGUGGUGUAAUGGAUGCUUCUGCCAUAAAGCACAACCGGCUUCGGACCGGUUAAUCGGGGUUCGAAUCCUCGCAGGCCCA
RNAcentral lists this transfer RNA (85 nucleotides) under Candidatus Woesearchaeota archaeon. RNAcentral describes it as "tRNA-Arg". It matches the Rfam family "tRNA". Rfam says of the family: Transfer RNA (tRNA) molecules are approximately 80 nucleotides in length. Their secondary structure includes four short double-helical elements and three loops (D, anti-codon, and T loops). Lineage: Archaea; Nanobdellati; Candidatus Woesearchaeota. The record is from RNAcentral.